This is a long non-coding RNA of Camelina sativa (false flax), 560 nucleotides long. RefSeq annotates it as protein CASPARIAN STRIP INTEGRITY FACTOR 2. Lineage: Eukaryota; Viridiplantae; Streptophyta; Magnoliopsida; Brassicales; Brassicaceae. The record is from RefSeq and is a predicted model, not a curated record.
UAUACGUAGUGAUAUAUACCAAACGCAUAAGGGCUCUCUUUUUUUUGUUUGAAAAAAGUAUAUAGAAAUACACAAGAUACGCAUAAACACACUUACAUAUAAACUUUGCUUUCUCAAAGAGAAAAACUGAAAGGGAGAAGAAGAUGGGUUUAUUACCAAUGUUGAAGAAACUAGGUCUCAUCUUUCUCCUUGUUUCAGCUUCAUCGUUUGCUCUCUCUUCUGCAGGCCGAUCAUCAAUCUUAAUCUAUGACCAAGAAUCUAAUCAUCCCGAGGUGGUGGAAAGAAGAAUACAUGAACAUGAGAAUUCUGAGAAUGAAUACAAAAGACUAUGGACAGUUCAGUCCCAAACAUAAGUUCGUGAGGCCUCCUUUCAAGCUUAUUCCCAACUGAUCAUCAUAUCGCCGAUCCACUAGCUACCACUAUAUAUAGAUUCCGGAUUUAUGAGUUGAUGUAUAAUAUAAUGUAUACCUAAAGACUAACACUGCAAUAAGUUUGAAUGUGCAUCUUAAUAUCAUAUAAGUUUGAAGAUAUAUAUGUUAUCUUCUUUUUUUUUACGCCUA